RNAcentral lists this ribosomal RNA (449 nucleotides) under uncultured bacterium. RNAcentral describes it as "partial 16S ribosomal RNA". It matches the Rfam family "Bacterial small subunit ribosomal RNA", at positions 354 to 796 of the family's 1533-position model. The record is from RNAcentral.
GUCGAGAAUCUUUCACAAUGGGGGCAACCCUGAUGGAGCGACGCCGCGUGGAGGAUAAGGUCUUCGGAUUGUAAACUCCUGUCAUGCGUGAACAAGGUUGCUUGGUUAAUACCUGGGCAAAUUGAUGGUAACGCAAGAGGAAGAGACGGCUAACUCUGUGCCAGCAGCCGCGGUAAUACAGAGGUCUCAAGCGUUGUUCGGAAUCACUGGGCGUAAAGGGUGCGUAGGUGGCGUGGUAAGUCAGAUGUGAAAGCCCGGGGCUCAACCUCGGAACUGAAUCCGAUACUGCCAUGCUAGAGUACUGGAGAGGUGACUAGAAUUCUCGGUGUAGCAGUGAAAUGCGUAGAUAUCGAGAGGAAUACCAAAGGCGUAGGCAGGUCACUGGACAGUUACUGACACUGAGGCACGAAGGCCAGGGGAGCGAACGGGAUUAGAAACCCGUGUAGUCC